Molecule: long non-coding RNA, 2042 nt
Organism: Syngnathus typhle (broad-nosed pipefish)
Lineage: Eukaryota; Metazoa; Chordata; Actinopteri; Syngnathiformes; Syngnathidae
Exons: 6
Source: RefSeq, a predicted model, not a curated record
UUUGUUUCACGUCCCGGUUACUAAGUCAAUUUACUGUUUGUUAAGUCAUGUCAGUUUGCCUUUUGAGUUCCCUUCAGUAAACCCUGGUCCAAACUGCAUUUGGUCGCCCUGCUCCAUCCGCUCCGUGACAAUUUUGUCUAAAUUUGGACCCUUCAUGAACAGCAGGGAGCGCCCUAACCUCACGUUCAAAGUUUUCCUUUAUUCGGGUGGUGAUCUUUGGGCCAGAGGCAGGACUGGACUGGAGAAAAGUGACAAAAGCACAUGAAAAAGUUGCAAACUGAAGUGGGAAGGGUGGAGCGCCCAACACGCCGGCUGAUGGGUGUCGGCAGUGUGAAGCUGCUGCGGCUCUCACGGGACCCGGUGGAGGGUGAGUCAUGCUAAAAUGCAUUCCGGCCCCGCCCGAAAGCGCUCGUCUCCCAACUCUAGCUCAAGUGCCGUCAACAAGUCAGGAAGUGAGCCGUCGUUAACAUCCACCACUGCCACUUUCAUCAUUAUCCGACUAGUUUUCCUGAUGCUUGUUGCAGGACCCCGCCAAAGAAGGGAAGAUAGGAGGAGAUGGCUGUCCCGAUGACUACAUAGUUGGUUUUGAAUUGGGUUUUGAAUUCUGUGUGUGUAUGUGUGUGUGUGUGCGUGUGUGAGGUUAAAGAGGGCUUCACAUCUCAGUGUCUGCAGUCUUGGCGGCGGAGUGGCCAUUGGUGGGAGGAGACUCGGUCUUGGCGGGUUCAGGAGUCUCCCCGUUCACGUUGGGUUUCUCUUGGGUUUCUGCCGGGGGGCUGAGCGGAGCCACGGACACGAGGGUGUUCCCCUGGUUCUCCUGAUCCACUGGAUAAGCCUCCUCUGCCUGCUAAGAGAGCAAAGAACAUUAAACAUUCCAAAUUCAUACGGUCAUAGAUUAUUGUCAAUAUGAUAAGUGGCUCUUUAAUUGUGACACCACUAAAAUAUCAAACGGCUUUUGUCAUGAAUUAAGUAUGCAAACUUCCACUUCACCACACUUGUCAAAGUUGGCGGAGGCGCAUGCCACCGCAGUCUCACUCAUCAAACUACUCACCAAUUUGACUCCCUUGGCGCCAGUUCGACGUUGACAUUUGCAGUAACCAGCAAUAAUGGCGGCGGCAACCAGCAGACCGGUGAUCAGAAUCCCCACGAAUACCGAGCGCCCUGAUGAGGAUGAGGAUGAGGACGUCGGUUGCUCCAAACUUGUCACUCCCAGCUGCAAAUAUAGAAGGGAAUAUUGCAUAUGAGACAUUUGGAUAGUUUUGGUGUGUCCAAUGAGAAACACAAGCGGCAAGGCAAAUCUGUUGACCAAUAACCACAAUGGGACCAAGGAGCAAUUAUGAAGUCUCGGGUGGAUUUUGAGGCCAAAAGACAAUCCCGGAAUGUUCUCAGAGCACGAAGGCUCUUCUGUGCGUCACAAAAGUUGACCGCAGCUGUAUGGAAUACUUGCUGACUUUCCUCCGCCUAGUCCUGAAUGAUGAUAUCACCUCAUCACGCAAUCAAAACUUGGGAUCGCUCUUCAUUUUCUAUAAUGUGAUCCAGCCGUCUCUCUGCUCCCAGGAGACGCUUGUGAGCAAACCCCGACUCGCAACUAAUUGGGAUGGAGCCUGCAGCUGCACAAUCCAGAUUUUGUGAGGCAUGGAGGAGAAAAAUGAAUGAGGGCUGAAUUUGUGAUCACUCCCAUGGAAGCCACGCUCUUCUCCAUCUGUCUGUGUCACAUGUGGAGGAUCACGCGUCUCUUGCACUCAGUUUGGCCUACUGGACUCUCGGUUUAUGAGGAAUUUGAAGUUCAGCAGGAUGCAGUAGCCACUGAUGCAAUGCUCCACACCAGGGGGUUACAACUGGUUUUGUCCAAGGGACCACCAAUAUAACCAAGAAGCAACUCGGGGACCACUGCUUUGGCGGAAUAUUAUUUUGUUUUGCAACAAAGGAGGAUGGACCUGCAUGUCUAUUUGGGGAAUCUCAGCUACAUUUGACAUAAUUUAGAUGGGUAGAUGAUUCACAUACUAAUUAGCUGGAAAAUGAAUAAAGUCUAGACGAUAAAUCUA